UGGGGAAUCUUAGACAAUGGGCGCAAGCCUGAUCUAGCCAUGCCGCGUGGAUGAAGAAGGCCUUAGGGUCGUAAAGUCCUUUCGCCGGGGAAGAUAAUGACGGUACCCGGUAAAGAAACCCCGGCUAACUCCGUGCCAGCAGCCGCGGUAAUACGGAGGGGGUUAGCGUUGUUCGGAAUUACUGGGCGUAAAGCGCGCGUAGGCGGAUCGGAAAGUCGGGGGUGAAAUCCCGGGGCUCAACCCCGGAAUUGCCUUCGAAACUCCCGGUCUUGAGUUCGAGAGAGGUGAGUGGAAUUCCGAGUGUAGAGGUGAAAUUCGUAGAUAUUCGGAGGAACACCAGUGGCGAAGGCGGCUCACUGGCUCGAUACUGACGCUGAGGUGCGAAAGCGUGGGGAGCAAACAGG
This 404-nucleotide ribosomal RNA is filed under the name uncultured Rubellimicrobium sp. RNAcentral describes it as "bacterial SSU rRNA". It matches the Rfam family "Bacterial small subunit ribosomal RNA", at positions 355 to 776 of the family's 1533-position model. Lineage: Bacteria; Pseudomonadati; Pseudomonadota; Alphaproteobacteria; Rhodobacterales; Roseobacteraceae. The record is from RNAcentral.